CCUACGGGUGGCAGCAGUGAGGAAUAUUGGUCAAUGGACGAGAGCCUGAACCAGCCAAGUAGCGUGAAGGAUGACUGCCCUAUGGGUUGUAAACUUCUUUUAUAUGGGAGUAAAAUGUUCCACGUGUGGGAUUUUGUAUGUACCAUAAGAAUAAGGAUCGGCUAACUCCGUGCCAGCAGCCGCGGUAAUACGGAGGGUCCGAGCGUUAUCCGGAUUUAUUGGGUUUAAAGGGAGCGUAGGUGGAUUGUUAAGUCAGUUGUGAAAGUUUGCGGCUCAACCGUAAAAUUGCAGUUGAAACUGGCAGUCUUGAGUGCAGUAGAGGUGGGCGGAAUUCGUGGUGUAGCGGUGAAAUGCUUAGAUAUCACGAAGAACUCCGAUUGCGAAGGCAGCUCACUGGACUGCAACUGACACUGAGGCUCGAAAGUGUGGGUAUCAAACAGGAUUAGAUACCCCUGUAGUC
Molecule: ribosomal RNA, 460 nt
Filed under: uncultured bacterium
Lineage: Bacteria
Description: partial 16S ribosomal RNA
Rfam family: Bacterial small subunit ribosomal RNA
Source: RNAcentral